GGUGGAAUAGCACAGCGAGGUUGUUAAAUGCUGAUCUGAGCACCGAGUUAUUCACAGUGUCAUGGGAGGAGGUCAGACUGACUCUAAGCAAGUCCCGUGGAAAGGGAGUACAAGUUUAGCCUUGCGAUCUCUGAAAAAUCUUAAAUGAAAAUCCACCUUUCUCAAAAUUACUGAAAUUCUUGACCAUUUCUUCGUGUGGGACUUCUUAACAAUGGGAACCUUCCGUGGGAUAAAUAGGACUAAGGCUUCUGUGAGCAGAGAAUGUUCUGUGCAGUUUACAAUUUGGGCUGCCAAAAAGGAUAUUUCCUAGGUAAUUAUCAUUUAGAGGAAAAAAAGUAAAAUACUCUGAGUUGGAGGGGAAAAAAAAAUCGCCAUUGUGAACUUACAUCCAGAAAGUGAAUAGGUUGGAAACCAGUUCGUUCUUGAGAACAGCAACAAAAUUUCUUUUGAGAGAGAAAAUUGCAGGUUCUUCCUGCAGCUUUUCUAAGUAAAACCUCAGAUUUGGCUUUUGACAAAGAGUCCCCAUGGCUUGUCAUGCAACAUGUAGGUUUGGGGGAAGGGACUUAUCUUCUCAGCACAGUAACAGAGGCUGACGGGAAUUAACUAUGGCUGUAAUUAUUUCAAGUGAGUGUAGAAAUGGGAGAAGGCUAGAGCUUCCUUGGAUGCUGUGCAACAUGAAUGAAAAGAGAACAAAGGUCAGAUUUUUGGAACCACUCCCAGUCAAAUACUCAUGUGAGUUAAGGAUGAGGGUUUUUAUUUAUCAUUUGUCUUGAAAACAAAAUAAAAAAAGGAAAUCUUUUCUUCUCAUAACAGAUGGAGGAACACAAACACACAAAGCCCAGGCCUCCAGCUAAAAGAGACAGGGAAAGGGAGUCUGUACUGGUGUUCGUAAGGAAAGAUACUUCAUAAUGAUGGGUAUGCAUGCUGGAAGCUCUCUUCUGAACAUGCAUGCCCAAGAAAGACAUUAUGAAUCAACAGAGGUUUUUUGGCUUUUGUAGGCUUCAUAGCUGCAAACAGUACUCCUUGCUCAGCUGUUCUGGUUGUUGGAAGGCACGCAUACUGGUACUAGGCAGAAAAUGCAUACAGUGAAAUGACUGGGCUUGCAGCAGUUAAAUAUUCCCAACUUAGGGCGAGAGCAAGAUCUUUACGCUUUAGCUAUAAACUUACUCCUGCUUCAGGCCCGCUCUUUUCACAUUCCUCUACCAGAGGAAUACGCCAUCAACUUCUAGUUCAGACACAGAUUCAGUAACUGCUCUAUUUUCUGUUUUAUCAAACUGUGCCUGUGUGUUUCUACAACAUCCCACUGCGGAAGAGAAAGCCCAGGUUACCAAAGCAUGAAAUCUGUCCUCUGGCCUGGUUCAAAGCAUGUAUCACGCAGGGGAGUAGGUAAAGAAAAUCCUUGUCAGGAAAGCAGGCCUGAGGACUAAAUCUCACACCAUGAAACACCCCUUCCUCCUAAAACCUUAAACUAAAAGCUAAGCUGUGACUCAGCCCCCUGCAAAAGGGGCUCAAAGCAUUUGUUAGAAUAAAUGAGAGUGCAAGAGGCCAGCAGACCAGCACUCGUCAGGGGCCACGGGGCUUCAUUUCAGGGCACACGCACUUCAGUAUUUCUAGAAAUGACCAGGGCAAGGGACUUAGAUGCAUAUUUAUGUGCAUGUAUUAAGCCACCUUGGAGAUUACAACAAGACCCUGGACCAGAGGGCGGUUAGAGCAAGCUCCCCAGGCAGCAGUCACAGCCCCAGGCUGAGGGAGUUGGAGAAGCAUUUGGACACUACCAUUGGAGAUGGCAGUUGAAGUUCAGGCAGACCGGGGCAGAGCUACAAGUGGGAGGUCCCUUCCAACACAGGCUGCAUUCCUAUUCUACACACAGCAGCCAUUUUACUGAGUUUGUAUACUUGUUAAGCUUUUCCUCUCUUCUCAGUAGUGUACUUCUUCACCAUCCCACUGGGAAAAAAGCAGAGCCUGUUAGCCCCAGCAGCAACAGCUUAAAGGCCAGCAGACAUCUCCUUGCACUAAGGAGUCAACCUACUAACACACUGAGACACAGUAGCAGCAAAGGCAGAAGGAGAGUAGUUCUGUAUUCAAGUCAAUUAACUCCUUUUUCUCUCCUGCCUUGUAGAGGUGGCUGCAUUUGAACAGCAGCACAGCUGGAACAUUAACUAACUAAAAGUGAAGUUAAUAACUGCAGACUUCCACACGAAGGUACAAUAUACAUCCUCAAGCCAGGGAAGCCCUACCGCAUCUGAGAAAGGCUGCCUUGCAGAAAUUCAGCUGCAACAACACAGACACAGGAAACAUCCUCAGCAAUUUCAGCUGGUGAGCGAAGUGAGGCUGAGGCAUGGUGCUGUUGGAGUAGGUGAUCUGUAAAUAUUUGUUAUUAACAUAAGUCUCACCUUUUUUUUUUUUUUUAAACAGAACACACAAUGCCAAACGACCACCCACCGAAGAGGGCAUUUGCCUCCCCUUUCUCACCCCUCAAGAUUACCGAGGGAAUGGCAUCAGCCAGGGAAGAAGCCCCCAGCACAGAAAAAGCAGGUGCCUCCUCUUUUAGUGUGGUAAGUAAGGAUUUAGAGUUACCCCUAGACAUUCCCCUAUGCAGUUUUGCUUCGGCCAGAAGCUGAAGAACGUAAAGAAAGUGGAAGAGGUCUCUCAAACAGGAGACCUGGUUUUCCCACUAUUACAAAGUCACCCAUUUCCAAAUUUCAGGCCGCCCAUCUACCAGUUCAAUCCAGCACAGGUCAUGAGGUACGCUCUUGAACAUUUUGCCUUAGCCACAGAAGGAGGUACCUUCAUUUUUAUUUAUAUAAACAAAAAUGAAGUUGGCCAUGUUAGAGACCUCUCACAAGAGGAGAGGUCAUCAGCAUUUCCCUUGUUUAGUUUUCCCACUUAUCUGAUUUCCCCCCCCCCCCCCGCUCCCCCUGCAGGAGUAGCACACGAAAAUCUGAGAGCACAGCAGCAGCUCCCCUCCUUCCUGAGAGUCUCAGUCUUAGGCUGCUGCUGCGGUAUCCAUCCUGCAUACACUAGAGAUUGUUUACUCCCCCACACCUCAGGCAAACAUCACCCUCCAGCCACUUCCUCCAACCCCCAGGGAGCAGUGACUACAGAGAACAAGCAACCUCUUAAGUCACAACAAGAAGUUGGUUCCAAGGGGCCUUACCUGAGCUUUGAAGUAACACACUAAAAGCUUUCUCCUCCUCCUCCUUUCAG
Gallus gallus (chicken) is the source of this 3207-nucleotide long non-coding RNA. The record is from Ensembl. Lineage: Eukaryota; Metazoa; Chordata; Aves; Galliformes; Phasianidae.